Molecule: long non-coding RNA, 1629 nt
Organism: Girardinichthys multiradiatus
Lineage: Eukaryota; Metazoa; Chordata; Actinopteri; Cyprinodontiformes; Goodeidae
Exons: 2
Source: RefSeq, a predicted model, not a curated record
UGUACCGGAGUCAAAUUCCUUGUUUGUAUGUAUGAACUUGGCAAUAAAGCUGAUUCUGAUUCUCAGGGCUUACUCCACACAUAGAUAAUAGCACAAACCCAUAAACAGGACCUAGAUUUCUGCAUCAUAUGAAAAGUGUAAAACACAAAUGUAUUGUUCUUCCUUUAAACAUGAAUGGAGCUGGAGUUUGACAGAUGUGAUGAAUAAAACUUCAGGGCUCCAGCAGCAGAUGCUCUAUUUUCCUAGUUUACAGCAGCUGGAAGUGAACCCUACUGUCCUGUGUUCCUCAUGUCUUCAUAUUUCUCCUUUUUUCCUCCUUUAAAGACUGGAGGAAACUCAAAUUUAAACACAUUUCUUGGACAUUCAGAUCGGUAACUUAACCAUAAGAUUAGAACCUGGCAGGUUAAGGAUGAAGUCACAUCCUGCAAGGCAACACUGAGGAGAAAAUGAAAGCGGGAAACAGCCACCACUUAGUUUCACAGCUUUUUCCUCGGCUCAGUCCAACCAACCCUGUGAGUUUUCCUCUCUUUAAGUUCUACAACACCAACAUGAUGUUCUGAGUUCCGAACCGAGCCGCAGAACAGCUGGUUUAGUGAAAAACAAGCUGGGACACAGGAGCUGUCCUUUCAGCACCACGGUUACAAACAGAUCCGGACGGAAAAUCACCGUUUCUCACAAACGUGACAGCUCCUCUAACCGGACCCGAACCGGACACAGGUUUCACCUCCCUGAGCGGAAAUACAGCUUAAAGUCCCCACAGUCCGCCCGGACCAGAACCGCUUCCAGAUGGACUUAAUUAACGCGGAGAGCAGAGACGUUAUUGGCCUACUUACCAUCAAUCGCCAUGAUGUUCUGUUUGGCUUCAACCAAAGUGGGCGGUAAGAAAUGGGGAGCGGUCCACUGUGAGAGGGAGUCCGGGGGGAGGACGAGUCGUGCUCUUCCUCCUCCUGACUCAGAGCCUCGGCUGUUCACCUCCUGAUGCCUGGGUUCUGAUUCCUGAAACACCACAACUGCUCUGCUAAUUAACUCCAAGAACUUUCUUCCACCAGCGGCCCACUGACCUCCAUCACAGAAAGGGUCCAUAAUAGUUUCCAUGUCAUGUUGGUCUAACGAACGGAACUCAGAUGUUGGCUGAAAUCAACACUUCCUGUGAAUUUCACAGGUCAGUCAAUAUUAAUGCAUCACUGAUUAUUAUGUAGAAAAUAAGACUUUGUGACCCAAAGGAUGUCAACGCGUGACUUUUAACAAAAUGACACAUGAACAACAAGGAGAAUGAAGAUCAUUUCUUCUAGUCUAAUUUAACUGAUCUCAACCUAUUUCCUGAUUAGCUUCAUUAGGCCUCGUUUAUGUCCUGCAAAUCAAGGCUGGGAUUGAUACUGCAGGCUGCUGGUGCUCUUAUAUAAACUUAAAACCAUGGAGUCAAAAUUCUGGUUGGGUUCUGGAUCUCGAUUAGAUGCUGUUCUUGUGAUUUCAGUAAUACCACAUAUACCGCAUGGCAAUAAGUACCUGUGCAUGUUGACUUCCUUCUAUUUAUAGCUGCCACUCACUGACGGCCUCAUCAAAGCAUCUCCUUCCUGUUGUCAUAGAAACAGGCCGCUGUGUCCAUUAGCUCCUCCGUCUGCCAGCUGC